UGGCGACCGGCGCACGGGUGAGUAACACGUAUCUAACCUGCCGAUGACUCGGGGAUAGCCUUUCGAAAGAAAGAUUAAUACCCGAUGGCAUAGUUCUUCCGCAUGGUGGAACUAUUAAAGAAUUUCGGUCAUCGAUGGGGAUGCGUUCCAUUAGGUUGUUGGCGGGGUAACGGCCCACCAAGCCUUCGAUGGAUAGGGGUUCUGAGAGGAAGGUCCCCCACAUUGGAACUGAGACACGGUCCAAACUCCUACGGGAGGCAGCAUG
RNAcentral lists this ribosomal RNA (265 nucleotides) under uncultured bacterium. RNAcentral's name for it is "partial 16S ribosomal RNA". It matches the Rfam family "Bacterial small subunit ribosomal RNA", at positions 89 to 353 of the family's 1533-position model. The record is from RNAcentral.